UGCCAGCCGCCGCGGUAAUACGGAGGGGGUUAGCGUUGUUCGGAAUUACUGGGCGUAAAGCGCUCGUAGGCGGUUUGUUAAGUCGGAUGUGAAAGCCCCGGGCUCAACCUGGGAACUGCAUUCGAUACUGACAAACUAGAGUAUAGUAGAGGCAAGUGGAAUUCCGGGUGUAGCGGUGAAAUGCGUAGAUAUCCGGAGGAACAUCAGUGGCGAAGGCGACUUGCUGGACUAAUACUGACGCUGAGGAGCGAAAGCGUGGGGAGCAAACAGGAUUAGAUA
Molecule: ribosomal RNA, 279 nt
Filed under: uncultured bacterium
Lineage: Bacteria
Description: partial 16S ribosomal RNA
Rfam family: Bacterial small subunit ribosomal RNA
Source: RNAcentral